AUUGAACGCUGGCGGCAUGCCUUACACAUGCAAGUCGAACGGCAGCACGGGAGCAAUCCUGGUGGCGAGUGGCGAACGGGUGAGUAAUAUAUCGGAACGUGCCCAGUCGUGGGGGAUAACGUAGCGAAAGCUACGCUAAUACCGCAUACGAUCUAUGGAUGAAAGCGGGGGAUCUUCGGACCUCGCGCCAUUAGAUGAGCCUAGGUCGGAUUAGCUAGUUGGUGAGGUAAUGGCUCACCAAGGCGACGAUCCGUAACUGGUCUGAGAGGAUGAUCAGUCACACUGGAACUGAGACACGGUCCAGACUCCUACGGGAGGCAGCAGUGGGGAAUAUUGGACAAUGGGCGAAAGCCUGAUCCAGCCAUGCCGCGUGUGUGAAGAAGGUCUUCGGAUUGUAAAGCACUUUAAGUUGGGAGGAAGGGUAGUAACCUAAUACGUUGCUACUUUGACGUUACCGACAGAAUAAGCACCGGCUAACUACGUG
Molecule: ribosomal RNA, 484 nt
Filed under: uncultured bacterium
Lineage: Bacteria
Description: bacterial SSU rRNA
Rfam family: Bacterial small subunit ribosomal RNA
Source: RNAcentral